Anopheles gambiae (African malaria mosquito) is the source of this 397-nucleotide long non-coding RNA. RefSeq lists it as uncharacterized. The transcript is spliced from 2 exons. Lineage: Eukaryota; Metazoa; Arthropoda; Insecta; Diptera; Culicidae. The record is from RefSeq and is a predicted model, not a curated record.
CGGCAGCCGAAGUUCCUAUCGCGGGUCCCCUCAUAAAUGAUGGCCGGUCCCGGCGCGCAAAGGGCAAGACAUCAUAGGGGGGGCUUUGUGACACAGGCGGGAAGCGCAGCGAACCCGUGUGUGAUGCGAUUCUGGAAGACGGCAGACACUCGCGCGACCGUCCCGUUUUCAGUUGAUUUUCUGCCUCGGUGCGAAGUACGCGCGUGUGUCUGGUGCCGGUGUAAGCGCGCGCGCGAGCGUUUUCGAAGUUUCGGUUCGCGUACGUAGCGGAAAUGUUGCUCGCGUAAUGUUGUUGGUCGCGUGUUGUUGCUCGAAUCGGGCUGUGCGGCAAUUUUUGUAACUAAAAGAGCACGAAGAAGAGUUUUACAGUGAUAGUGAGUAAAUAAAAAAAAAACAA